Long non-coding RNA from Clupea harengus (Atlantic herring), 547 nucleotides. The record is from Ensembl. NCBI's taxonomy places the organism in Eukaryota, Metazoa, Chordata, Actinopteri, Clupeiformes, Clupeidae.
CCAGCUCAUCAGUUGUCUAUGAUCUGCCAUAGCUCCUUGCUUUUGGGACGCUACAGACUGAACUCUUGUCCAUUUCUUGUUUAUAGUUUGUAGUGUUCUGGCCCUGAACCAUGUACAGAUAGCAAGAAGCAAAGUAUCAGGAUGUAAAAAGUAUGCAGGUAUACUAGUGAAAGAGUAUGCAGGUAUACUUGUGAAAGAUGUAAAGAGUACGCAGGUAUACUAGUGAAAGAGUACGCAGGUAUAGUAGUGAAAGAUGUAAAGAGUACACAGGUAUACUAGUGAAAGAGUAUGCAGGUAUACUAGUGAAAGAUGUAAAGAGUAUGCAGGUAUACUAGUGAAAGAUGUAAAGAGUAUGCAGGUAUAGUAGUGAAAGAGUACGCAGGUAUACUAGUGAAAGAUGUAAAGAGUACGCAGGUAUACUAGUGAAAGAUGUUAAGAGUACACAGAUAUACUAGUGAAAGAUGUAAAGAGUAUGCAGGUAUAGUAGUGAAAGAGUACGCAGGUAUACUAGUGAAAGAUGUUAAGAGUACACAGAUAUACUAGUGAA